This is a long non-coding RNA of Oxyura jamaicensis (ruddy duck), 633 nucleotides long. RefSeq lists it as uncharacterized. Lineage: Eukaryota; Metazoa; Chordata; Aves; Anseriformes; Anatidae. The record is from RefSeq and is a predicted model, not a curated record. The transcript has 2 exons.
GCAGCCUGAGGAAUGCAGGAUUCCUCUCCUUGCAGGUUUGGAGGAUGCCUGGAGCUGAGAAAAGCCUGAACUGGGUUCCUGGGGGAGUUGUGCUGCACUUGUCCUCCCCAAAUACCCGACACGGAGAGGCUUCGUUCUUGCAGCACGAAAUCAAUCCGUGGCUGUGAAGGAUCUGGCCACAGUUGACAUCUCAGAGCGAUAAAUGUUCUCAUCAUUUUUUGAGAUCACCACGUCAGGGAGGAGCUGGAAAGCUGCACGCCAAACCGAGCAGUCCUGGGUGCCUCCUUCAGCAGGUGCAAGCUUUUAGAAGUAUUUUUGUCUUGCGUCCGUUCCAAACUGAAUUUGUGAUUAAAUUGAUGUAUUUAGGUAAAACCUUUUAACUGAAGAACCCCAAAUGGAAAUAUUUUAGCAAAUUCUGGCGCAGGUAGCACACUGCAGGCUGACGGCUGCGUCCCGUGAAGUACCACGGCAGGCCAAAGUUUGUGACCAGUUCUGCCUUAGCCAGUUUUGUCCGAGUGACUCACUGUUGCCUAUUUGUUGUCCGUAUUGCUAUAGCAGUCGAGACUCUUAAGCUUUGGAUCCACGACCUUGUCAUGCCAGGUGCUGUAGGAACGUGGAAGGGAAAGAAAAAAA